This is a transfer RNA of 90 nucleotides. It matches the Rfam family "tRNA". Rfam says of the family: Transfer RNA (tRNA) molecules are approximately 80 nucleotides in length. Their secondary structure includes four short double-helical elements and three loops (D, anti-codon, and T loops). Further hydrogen bonds mediate the characteristic L-shaped molecular structure. tRNAs have two regions of fundamental functional importance: the anti-codon, which is responsible for specific mRNA codon recognition, and the 3' end, to which the tRNAs corresponding amino acid is attached (by aminoacyl-tRNA synthetases). tRNAs cope with the degeneracy of the genetic code in two manners: having more than one tRNA (with a specific anti-codon) for a particular amino acid; and 'wobble' base-pairing, i.e. permitting non-standard base-pairing at the 3rd anti-codon position. The record is from Rfam.
GCGGACAUAGCUCAGUUGGGAGAGCGUCAGACUGAAGUUAACUUCAAUCACUUAAUCUGAAGGUCGUGUGUUCAAUCCACACUGGCCGCA